UGGGGUGUGGCCAAGCGGUAAGGCACGGGCCUUUGGAGCCUGUAUACGGAGGUUCGAAUCCUCCCACCCCAGCCU
RNAcentral lists this transfer RNA (75 nucleotides) under Deltaproteobacteria bacterium. RNAcentral's name for it is "tRNA-Gln". It matches the Rfam family "tRNA". From Rfam's summary of the family: Transfer RNA (tRNA) molecules are approximately 80 nucleotides in length. The record is from RNAcentral. Lineage: Bacteria; Pseudomonadati; Myxococcota; Myxococcia.